This 389-nucleotide ribosomal RNA is filed under the name uncultured bacterium. RNAcentral describes it as "bacterial SSU rRNA". It matches the Rfam family "Bacterial small subunit ribosomal RNA", at positions 28 to 417 of the family's 1533-position model. The record is from RNAcentral.
AACGAACGCUGGCGGCGUGCUUAACACAUGCAAGUCGAGCGGUAAGGCCCUUUCGGGGGUACGACGAGCGGCGAACGGGUGAGUAACACGUGGGUGACCUGCCCUCAGCUCUGGGAUAAGCCUGGGAAACCGGGUCUAAUACUGGAUAUGACUCCAUGACGCAUGUUGUGGGGUGGAAAGCCUUGUGCGGCUGAGGAUGGGCCCGCGGCCUAUCAGCUUUGUUGGUGGGGUGAGGCCUACCAAGGCGACGACGGGUAGCCGGCCUGAGAGGGCGACCGGCCACACUGGGACUGAGGCACGGCCCAGACUCCUACGGGAGGCAGCAGUGGGGAAUCUUGCGCAAUGGGCGAAAGCCUGACGCAGCGACGCCGCGUGAGGGAUGACGGCCU